AAGUCUGACGGAGCAACGCCGCGUGAGCGAUGAAGGCCUUCGGGUCGUAAAGCUCUGUUGUUAGGGAAGAACAAGUACCGUAGUAACUGCUGGUACCUUGACGGUACCUAACCCGAAAGCCACGGCUAACUACCUGCCCACAGCCCCGGUAAUACCUAAGUGGCAAGCGUUGUCCGGAAUUAUUGGGCGUAAAGCGCGCGCAGGGGGUUUCUUAAGUCUGAUGUGAAAGCCCCCGGCUCAACCGUGGAAGGGCAUUGGAAACUGGGGAACUUGAGUGCCGAAAAAGAAAGUGGAAUUCCCCGUGUAGCGGUGAAAUGCCUAAAAAUGUGGAAGAACCCCCGUGGCGAAAGCGACUUUCUGGUCUGUAACUGACCCUGAAGCGCCAAAGCGUGGGGAGCCAACAGGAUUAAAUACCCUGGUAGUCCACGCCCUAAACGAUGAAUGCUAAGUGUUAAAGGGUUUCCGCCCUUUAAUGCUGCAGCAAACGC
This 488-nucleotide ribosomal RNA is filed under the name uncultured bacterium. RNAcentral's name for it is "bacterial SSU rRNA". It matches the Rfam family "Bacterial small subunit ribosomal RNA", at positions 379 to 858 of the family's 1533-position model. The record is from RNAcentral.